AUGACCUACCUCAAGCAUCUACGAAGGUGCUGUGGUGAAGAUGCACGCCGCCUUUGGGCAUCUGGUAGCUGUCACUUAAAGAUGAGUUUUGACAGGUUGAAAACAGAAGAUCGUAAACUUGCAUACAUGAUAUGUAAUAACUAUGAGAGGUUAAAAGUACAUUUGGAGUCUGCCCUCAGAACAUUCUUAUUGGAAUCUUUCAAAAGUCAGAGUCCUGACACCAUAAAGAAGAGGUUUGCAAGUGAGGAUAAAAUGAAACAAUUCAUUCAAGUCCAAACAAAACUGACAGUUAUGCAGAUGCCUUCAAGCAUAUGUUCAUUGCGUCAGCACUUCAUCAACAAUCCUGCAGGCAGAAUUGCUCAUCUGUUCCAGAACCAGGCCUAUAGCAAAGACGUCCCAACAGCAGUAAAAGAGUCAAGGAUUCUGCUUCACAAGUUAACACAACAUACCAUAGCAGAACACAAAAGAGGUUACUGUUGGGAUGGUCAAUUAAGCCUUGAUGACUGGGAAGUCAUAGAUGUAACUCACAUUUAUCCAAUUGCCAAAUCUGUCCGUUGCACCAGUAGAGCAAUGUCUAACAAGGACCUUACUCAAAUAGCUGACACAGUAGUUCCAAACUUCAUGAUCAAUGGAGUGAUUCCUGUGUUUAUGGAACACUUCACAAAUGCGUUGAAGUCUCAUGGCACACUUGCUGAAGAGGAUUUCCGAUCUUGGUACUAUGCAUACCUCCUGCUACACCCCUUUGUUAUGUCAUCGAUAGGAAGGGCAAAUCUCCUUAGGAAUCUGUAUUGGCUUCUGGUGGACUUGAAUUUUGAGGAAAACCCGUUCUUUGAUACUGUUUUCAAAGUAGCUCCUUCUUCAGACUGGCGAGAUUUUAUCAUGCAGACCCCUGUGAACUACAUUAUCUGGAAGGUUUUCUGGUACAAGCUGAUACCAAAUUUCAACACCCUUCCUUAUUUCAACUUGUUGGGAAGCAUUAUAAAGUACCAUCGCCAUCUUGUUCAUCAUGGUCCUGACCAUGCCAGGGAUGGCAAGGUGACAACAAUGUCGAGCACAGAUGACAGCGAGUUACUUGCUGCAGCGCAUGACCAGGAUUGCCUCGCAGAGUGCAUCAAGAACCUUCUGCAACAGAAGAAAGUGACCAGCGACGUCAGUGUUGUGCUUGACGCUUACGCUGUGACAUGGGAGCUGUGA
Molecule: ribosomal RNA, 1194 nt
Filed under: Triticum aestivum (bread wheat)
Lineage: Eukaryota; Viridiplantae; Streptophyta; Magnoliopsida; Poales; Poaceae
Description: partial small subunit ribosomal RNA
Source: RNAcentral